GACGAACGCUGGCGGCGUGCUUAACACAUGCAAGUCGAACGAUGAACCCGGAGCUUGCUCCGGUGGAUUAGCGGCGAACGGGUGAGUAACACGUGAGUAACCUGCCCUUGACUCUGGGAUAACUGCGGGAAACUGUAGCUAAUACCGGAUACGACCCUCGGCGGCAUCGCCAGGGGGUGGAAAGAAUUUCGGCCAAGGAUGGACUCGCGGCCUAUCAGCUAGUUGGUGAGGUAACGGCUCACCAAGGUGACGACGGGUAGCCGGCCUGAGAGGGUGACCGGCCACACCGGGACUGAGACACGGCCCAGACUCCUACGGGAGGCAGCAGUGGGGAAUAUUGCACAAUGGGCGCAAGCCUGAUGCAGCAACGCCGCGUGAGGGAUGACGGCCUUCGGGUUGUAAACCUCUUUUAGUAGGGAAGAAGCGAAAGUGACGGUACCUGCAGAAAAAGCACCGGCUAACUACGUGCCAGCCGCCGCAGUAA
RNAcentral lists this ribosomal RNA (484 nucleotides) under uncultured bacterium. RNAcentral's name for it is "partial 16S ribosomal RNA". It matches the Rfam family "Bacterial small subunit ribosomal RNA", at positions 28 to 523 of the family's 1533-position model. The record is from RNAcentral.